RNAcentral lists this ribosomal RNA (473 nucleotides) under uncultured bacterium. RNAcentral's name for it is "partial 16S ribosomal RNA". It matches the Rfam family "Bacterial small subunit ribosomal RNA", at positions 28 to 507 of the family's 1533-position model. The record is from RNAcentral.
GAUGAACGCUAGCGGCAGGCCUAAUACAUGCAAGUCGAACGGGCGGUAGCAAUACCGCUAGUGGCGCACGGGUGCGUAACACGUAACCAACCUGCCCAGAUCUGGGGGAUAGCCCGCCGAAAGGCGGAUUAAUACCGCAUAAACCCACAGUGUGGCAUCACAUAAUGGGUAAAGAUUUAUCGGAUCUGGAUGGGGUUGCGUAGCAUUAGCUAGUUGGCGGGGUAAUGGCCCACCAAGGCGACGAUGCUUAGGGGACCUGAGAGGGUGAUCCCCCACACUGGCACUGAGAUACGGGCCAGACUCCUACGGGAGGCAGCAGUAGGGAAUAUUGGGCAAUGGGCGAGAGCCUGACCCAGCCAUGCCGCGUGCCGGAUGAAGGCCUUCUGGGUUGUAAACGGCUUUUCUCAGGGAAGAAAACGGGGAUGCGUCCUCAACUGACGGUACCUGAGGAAUAAGCACCGGCUAACUCCGUG